UCUCUCUCACACACACACACACAUUUUUCCUUUGAGGUUACAAACGCGAGGACUAGCUGUUGUUGCCUUGUAUGGUCAAGCCACCAUUGCACCAGACACGCAAAUACACAUUGCUCUCAGAUUCUUUUGGUGGGGUUUGCAAGUAGAGAGAUCGCAUUUAGGAAUUGUAUUUUGCCAUCAUACAGAAUGGCACAAGAUGAGGCAAUAGGUGUGUGGUGCAGAUGCUCUCCAACCAUUUGAAUCUGCAGUUCUCCACAACUCAUUUACAACAAAAGCCUUGAGUAGUAGCACUGAUGUCACUAUAAGAUAUAAUUUUGUAAAAAUCCAAAUAAGCAUUGUAUAUACAAUUCAGUUCAUUAAGCAUAACUCAAUCUAUAGGCCGAAUGAAUUGAAACUGAAAAUAUAGGUGAUGCACCAAAUUUUUAUCUAGGAAAAUUGGGGCAUUUCUUUUUAGCAUUACUCCUUAUACAUUAAAUAUUAUGUGCCAAAACAGGAUGGAUAGAACCAUACUUUGUGCUUGCUUGAAUUUAAUACUUAUAUAUCAAUUCCCUACUCUAGGCUUUUCAUCAGGAUUAAUAAGUAGUAGUGAUGCAUCACUUCCCUAAUAGCCUACAGCUGGCAAAACUUAGGUUAUGAAACAUCAUGUGUCAACUGUCAAUUUUAUAAAUGUCCUUAUAUUAUGUCAUAAUCUUCCGACAUGAUUUCAAUGUUUACAGGUGUACUACAAUGCAGUAAACUGAUCGUGUACAUUUCUUAAUUUUCCAUAGGACCUCUCCAUCCUCGAGCCCUUCUUCUCCUCUCUCCGCGCCGUCUCGCCUCCCCUGCUCUCGCAGCGCCACCUUCCCUGCCCGGCGCUCGAGGUGCAGCAGUAGGCGCGCCAUGAUUUUGGAUCGGGCGGAUAUCUUCGCCAGGAGAGUAGGAGCACUUGCUGUUAAUAUGAACGAUCUCUCACUAAGUUUUUGUUAUGACGUUGUGUGCCGAUUCAUGAUUUAAACACGCAAAAUGUUUGGUUUGCAUAUUUGUGCCUAGCCCUGUUACCAGCAGUGUAUUUUUUGCUGUAAGAAAGACAGCAGUGCUUUAUUUCUUUGACUUUUUGAUCGUGUCUAAUUUCUGGUAAAAGAGAGGAAUUUGAGAGAGAUAGACAACCUGAAGAGCUUUGAAUGGUUGUUCGAGUGUGCCGCCGGCCUCCUCGCUGCUGUUGUUUGCGUAGCUGGCACGGUGUGUGGCUACUGCCGAGAUAAGCGCAGUUUACUCCAGGUUUGGUGAUGGUGUUGAACAACACCUUAACUGGGCCAAGGAAUUUAGUAGCAUUGCGGGAUCAUAAACCAGUUUUUCUGUUCUCUGUGCUCACAUAGUAAGAACAUGCUUGCAAGUUCUUUUCCCUAGGUGUAAUUUCUUUUGCUGAGAUAGAUUAAGCCUGGGUCGAGGUGGCUGCUGUGUGCCGGUUGCCAGUACUUGUUUGUUGUAAUGUCUUACCCAGUGAGAUUUCUUUUCUUCUUGCCUAUUUUCAGAGGUUCUGCUUGAAGAUUCUCUAAUCACUUUCUUUGGAUUUUUUUUUCCUGAGAUAUGCUUUCAGGUUACUUCAAUGUUACCAGACUUAAAAUGUACUAUCUAGCAUACUAGCACGUGUGUAUAUGAUGCCUCUUUUUAUCCUUGAAUGUAAGACACAUGGUGUUUUGUUCCAUUGUUAUGCUUAACGGAAGUGAUGUUCUGUUAUCAUAUUCAAAACUAUAGCUCUUUGUUUGCAGUAUCUCGAAGGGAGCAAUAUUUUGAUACUUGCUUUAUAGGAAUUCUCUUUCUUUGCCUAGAAUUUGUGAUUUAUGACUGAUGUCAAUUCCACCUUUGUAGGUGCUUCUCAAUUAUUACUAAUUUUGAAACUGCAGAGGAGCAGGAGAUGAGGAGGGCGCCACUUGGUGUACAAUGGUGCAUGAUGCGGCAGUUAGACCGGGAGAUGAGGAGCGCGGCACUGGGUGUACGAAGGAUUAGUAGGAAGAAUGUUAAUCACAGUGGGUGAAAAGAAAAUGCGAGCUCGGCUGAUUGCAUACUAUUUGGUUGAGUUGUUUUGUCCUAAAGAUACAAUCAAGCUGAAGAUUUCUUUUCUAUGGAAAUUCACCAUGGGAAUCGAAAUAAUGUACAGGAUACUGAAUUAACAGUUACACGAAAGUUUAGCACACACUUUUCUAAGAGACGGGAGACGGGACCACCAGUGUCAUGGCCCUCUUUAUCAAGGGCGUCGACAAUAGGGCUACACUCACAAUGAACUGGAACAGCUUCUUCCAUAAGGCAAACAUGAAGAAAGGGUGUACAUAUGCUUUCGCUUUCAAGUGCACGUCCAAGGGCCUUUGCAUGAUUGUCUAUCCAAUCUAAGCAGGUCACAAUAGUCCUUUGCUACGUAACUUGGUAUUACUAUAAGUAUUUAUUGAGACUUUUAUAUCUGGCAUCAUUUUGGAUCUUAUGUAAAAAAAUUAUGACAAUCCUGUUCGUAUGGCUAUCAUCAAU
This is a long non-coding RNA of Triticum aestivum (bread wheat), 2499 nucleotides long. RefSeq lists it as uncharacterized. The record is from RefSeq and is a predicted model, not a curated record. Lineage: Eukaryota; Viridiplantae; Streptophyta; Magnoliopsida; Poales; Poaceae. The transcript is spliced from 3 exons.